GAUGAAGAACGUAGCGAAAUGCGAUAAGUAAUGUGAAUUGCAGAAUUCAGUGAAUCAUCGAAUCUUUGAACGCACAUUGCGCCCGCCAGUAUUCUGGCGGGCAUGCCUGUUCGAGCGUCAUUUCAACCCUCAAGCCCUCGGGUUUGGUGUUGGGGAUCGGCGAGCCUUUCUGGCAAGCCGGCCCCGAAAUCUAGUGGCGGUCUCGCUGCAGCCUCCAUUGCGUAGUAGUAGAACCCUCGCAACUGGAACGCGGCGCGGCCAAGCCGUUAAACCCCCAACUUCUGAAUGUUGACCUCGGAUCAGGUAGGAAUACCCGCUGAACUUAAGCAUAUCAAUAAGCGGAGGA
RNAcentral lists this unclassified non-coding RNA (346 nucleotides) under soil metagenome. Its description in RNAcentral is "partial contains 5.8S ribosomal RNA, internal transcribed spacer 2, and large subunit ribosomal RNA". The stretch from base 1 to 120 matches the Rfam family "5.8S ribosomal RNA", at positions 35 to 154 of the family's 154-position model. The record is from RNAcentral.